Sphaeramia orbicularis (orbiculate cardinalfish) is the source of this 261-nucleotide long non-coding RNA. RefSeq lists it as uncharacterized. The record is from RefSeq and is a predicted model, not a curated record. Lineage: Eukaryota; Metazoa; Chordata; Actinopteri; Kurtiformes; Apogonidae. The transcript has 3 exons.
UUUUGCAGUGCAUUUUUGCAGGUAUGGGCAUGGGUAGAAUUAAAUGAAAUGCGGGCAGAUAGUGGGCAAGGAAGUGACAAAGUUAAGGAAGAUUCAUGGUUGAAAAUAAUUUGCAGGACAUUUAAUGAUGAUGAUCAUCUAAUUUCACCGUGGUUGAUCCUCAGCUGGUUUGUUUUGUUGUGAAAUGAGCUUCACCUCUGUUUACAUCCUGCCACAGACAUCACUGAGCAGCGCAUAUUAGAGAUUUGUUGAUGGCAUGCA